This is a long non-coding RNA of Dreissena polymorpha, 201 nucleotides long. RefSeq lists it as uncharacterized. The record is from RefSeq and is a predicted model, not a curated record. NCBI's taxonomy places the organism in Eukaryota, Metazoa, Mollusca, Bivalvia, Myida, Dreissenidae. The transcript is spliced from 3 exons.
AGGGUGGUGGUGGUGGAAUUACCUGCAUAUUGCAAGACGGCCGCGUGUUUGAGAAAGCUGGCGUCAAUAUCUCCAUCGUCACUGGCAGCCUGACCCAACAGGUCGUUCAACUGAUGAAGACAAGAGGGAAGACACUUUUAAGGGAAAAUAUGCCCUUCUUUGCCAUAGGAAUCAGCAGUAUUAUUCAUCCGAGGAACCCCC